RNAcentral lists this ribosomal RNA (1383 nucleotides) under metagenome. Its description in RNAcentral is "bacterial SSU rRNA". It matches the Rfam family "Bacterial small subunit ribosomal RNA". The record is from RNAcentral.
GUGGUGAACGGGUGAGUAAUGCAUCGGAACGUGCCAUUGAGUGGGGGAUAACGUAGCGAAAGUUGCGCUAAUACUGCAUAUUCUGUGAGCAGGAAAGCAGGGGACCGCAAGGCCUUGCGCUCUUUGAGCGGCCGAUGUCAGAUUAGCUAGUUGGUGAGGUAAAGGCUUACCAAGGCGACGAUCUGUAGCGGGUCUGAGAGGAUGAUCCGCCACACUGGAAUUGAGACACGGUCCAGACUCCUACGGGAGGCAGCAGGGGAAUUUUGGACAAUGGGGGCAACCCUGAUCCAGCCAUGCCGCGUGAGUGAAGAAGGCCUUCGGGUUGUAAAGCUCUUUCGGCCGGGAAGAAAUCGCAUGGGCCAAUACCCUGUGUGGAUGACGGUACCGGAAUAUGAAGCACCGGCUAACUACGUGCCAGCAGCCGCGGUAAUACGUAGGGUGCGAGCGUUAAUCGGAAUUACUGGGCGUAAAGCGUGCGCAGGCGGUUUUGUAAGACAGGCGUGAAAUCCCCGGGCUUAACCUGGGAACUGCGUUUGUGACUGCAAGGCUAGAGUACGGCAGAGGGGGGUGGAAUUCCACGUGUAGCAGUGAAAUGCGUAGAGAUGUGGAGGAACACCAAUGGCGAAGGCAGCCCCCUGGGUCGAUACUGACGCUCAUGCACGAAAGCGUGGGUAGCAAACAGGAUUAGAUACCCUGGUAGUCCACGCCCUAAACUAUGUCAACUAGGUGUUGGGUGGGUAAAACCAUUUAGUACCGUAGCUAACGCGUGAAGUUGACCGCCUGGGGAGUACGGCCGCAAGGUUAAAACUCAAAGGAAUUGACGGGGACCCGCACAAGCGGUGGAUGAUGUGGAUUAAUUCGAUGCAACGCGAAAAACCUUACCUACCCUUGACAUGCCAGGAACUUGCCAGAGAUGGCUUGGUGCCCGAAAGGGAGCCUGGACACAGGUGCUGCAUGGCUGUCGUCAGCUCGUGUCGUGAGAUGUUGGGUUAAGUCCCGCAACGAGCGCAACCCUUGUCGUUAAUUGCCAUCAUUUAGUUGGGCACUUUAACGAGACUGCCGGUGACAAACCGGAGGAAGGUGGGGAUGACGUCAAGUCCUCAUGGCCCUUAUGGGUAGGGCUUCACACGUCAUACAAUGGUCGGUACAAAGGGUUGCCAAGCCGCGAGGCGGAGCCAAUCCCAGAAAGCCGAUCGUAGUCCGGAUUGCAGGCUGCAACUCGCCUGCAUGAAGUCGGAAUCGCUAGUAAUCGUGGAUCAGCAUGUCACGGUGAAUACGUUCCCGGGUCUUGUACACACCGCCCGUCACACCAUGGGAGCGGGUUCCGCCAGAAGUAGGUAGCCUAACCGCAAGGGGGGCGCUUACCACGGCGGGGUUCGUGAC